UGAGUAUAUGAUCAUGAUUGAGCAAGAAAAUCACCCAACUUAUUUCUAUGAAAUUUUUCGAAAAUUAGGGGCUUGAAACCCUACGAAAAAUUGUUGUUUGUUUUCUUGAAUUGGCUUGAGUUAUAUGAUGAUUGAUGAUUAUUGAGUUAAUAUAUAUGAAUAUCUUGAUGAUUAGCCAUGAGAUAUAGAUUUUUCUAUUAGGUUAGUUUACCUAAAAUUGGGAUGUUGAGAUCCUAUGGAUCAAUUGAUGUAUUGAUGAUGGAUUUGAGUUUAUGAGAUGAUUUAGAUGAUUAAUGAUGGAUGAGAUUGAAGCUUGAGGUUGAGAGGUGAAAAAUGAAAAGUGUUAGUUUGAGGAAGAAGAUGACAUACAUGUGUAUCUAUAUGUGAUCUUGUUUUAUGAUGUUGAUUUGUGCUAAUUGGUAACCUAGGAUGUUAGAUCUAUGAUUUGAUCAAUAGGUUAUACAUGAUUAGUGAUAUUUUCAAAAGAGUUUAGUUUAAUAAAAAUUAGGACUUUUUGCCUAUGUGUUAUUAAAGUGAUUUUGGCUUAAGAUAUAUGUAUUUGAGCAUGAUAUUAGUGUAUAAUUAUGUUUGAGUAAGUCUUUUGUUGGCUAAGAAAAAUUUUGACUUAGUUUAGUUUAUAUGAGUUUUUGAGUUUUCAUAUUUUGAGAAGUCGAUGAUUGAUAAAAUGAGGUUUAAUUGCUUUAUGACCAUUAUGUGAAAGUUUGUCAUGUUUUAUUAAGAGUUUUAUGAUGAUACAUGAAGUUUCAUUAGAGUUUAGUACAUGAUAAAAGGGAAUCUAUAUGUGUAUAAUGAUUUAUAUGAUGAAUGAGAUCAUGUUUGAAUAAUUGAGUAAUUUUGUGCAUGAAAAUGAAAAGAGAAUUUUAAUGAUGCGUUCAUUGAAACGUUUUACUAGAGAUUUGAGGUUAUGAUGUAAGAAGAGAGUCAAGAUUUGAGUAUGAUGAGCAUUAUAUUGUGCUUGAAUGUUUGUGAGUGUUAUAUGUGUUUAAAAUGAGCUUUAAUGAGUUUCCUUGAAGGAAUGUUGAGUUGAGUAUUUUAAGAGUUUGAGAUGAGAUUUUGGUGAAUUUCGUAGGCCUACUGACCUACUGUGAUCGACGGUUUUUCAAUGUCAAAAAGCUUUGAAAUUUUAAUACCAAGUCUCUACAUGAGUCUUGAGAACAUCGGUAAAAUUUCAAGUCAUUUGGACUUCGUCUAUUAUUUUUAUAAAAUACAAAACCGAAACUGCACAUUACUACCGAGAGUUUCAGAGAGCAGGGGAAAGAGUCAUUCAUUUCAGUAGCUUCCUGUGUGAUCUAGCUUUCCAAAAUUUUAUGGUAUUAACCUUAUUGUGUUAGCUAGAUAUCCACAAAAUUUGAGCCCAGUUUGACAAUAUUUACUAUUUUUUCAAAAAUCCAAGUUUUCGAUUGCUCAAAACUGCCGAAUAUGGUAGACUGUAGUAAAACAGUCAUGUCUCCUACAAUACUUGGAGUUUUUGACUCUACUUUUUUUUAUAUGAAAAUAGACUCGAAGACCUUUCUUUUGGUAUGAGUCUCGAAUUCAAGAGGUGUCGGAGUAAGAACAUGUUAGAUUUUGAAGUUGAGUCAGUGUAAAAACAGAGCAUGUUUUGAUAAUGUUUGAUUGUGUUUUCUUAUGUGCCUUAUGUGAUUGUGUUGUCUAUGUGUUGAAUGAGAUUAGACGAGCCUUAUAUGAGAGAUAAUCGAGACUUAGUACCAUGAUUUUCUUGAAACCUAUCCUUGAACUUAAGGAUUUGAGAUGAGUGGAGAGUUUAUAUAGAGAUGAGUAAAGAGAUAGAAUAGGAGAUAGAACAUGAGUUAAGGCUUUAUGAGUAUGGAUUUUAAAAGGAUUAAAAUGUUUUAAAUCAAUUCUUUUUUAAUGGAGUUUAAAAUGCUUAUUUAAGUCAUUUAUAAAUGAAUAAUGAGAAAUGCGUAAAGAAGUUCGUAAAUGAAUCGCGGCAUGAGAUUUUCAAUUCCCCUAGUAAAUUAGGGAGAUAUUAUGAAGGAACAAGCAAUGAACGAGACACUACAACAAUUAAUAUUACAGUAUUAAUACUGUAUAAGAAAUGGACAAUUUCUUAACAUUAAAGUAUAUGGAAAUGUCACUCAUAAAUAAAAAGCUAGGAUCAUAUAUGAUCAUUUGGAUACUUAUAACACAUACACAUAAAGGAGAACUGAUUAAGGUGGGUUACCCAAUAACACGUGUCACAACUUCAUAACAUAGAGUUAUCCUAAUCAAAGUGUUUUGCAGCGGAAAACGUGUGAGAUAUACAUAUGAAGAUGUAUACUCAAGGUUACAUUUCUUGAAAUGUCAAAGGAACACCCGCUCAACAUCAUUCCAUUCCAUCAACUGCUCAACCUGCACAUUUAGAAAUACAUGCAGGGCUGAGUAUAAAAAUACUCAGUGGGCAUAGCCGAAAAUACAACAUGCAUACAUAUAUAAAUUGAACUGCCAUAACAGUAACACACAGGGGUUUUCUUAAAUGACCUGCGCUUACUAAAAUAUUUCUUUCAUUUUCAUAAAGUCGAUCGGCCGAUCAUUUUCCUUCAUAUGAUCCAUAUCUGUUCCUUUCUGUCACGCGCCGGGAAGGAGGCCUCCUUACCACGGACGCCAAGACCGGUCGCAAGCGACUCGCGAUCUCCAUAAGUGUACACGUUAACCCUAGCUAGCGACCUUUGUCUAGCAUAGGAUCCCAAUUGGAUUUCCUUUAAAGUUGGCGAACCAACACAGAUAGGAUACAUAUAAAAACAUAAACAUUUUUGGCAGUCAAUCAUUUCAUAAACAUUUCAUUUCAUUUCAUGAACAUUUCAUUUUCAUUUCAUAAGAGUCAUUUAUCAUUUGGGCAUAAUAAUAAACUGAAAUUAACAGUUAAAAUCAUCUCAUGCAUAUAUUCGUAUAAGAGGCCUACGACACGCAGGGGAUCUCUAUAUACGUAUAGUAAAAGUAAUGCCCACCUGGAUAGGCAAAGCCUGAAGAUCAUAAUCACAUAUACCUGUCUUGGGAAAGCAGUGCUAAUCCCCCUGGUCCACAAAGCCUACAAGAAAUCUAUUCUCAAUAGGUCUCCUUGAAUCUAAUCUUAAGUCAUGGUGUAGUGCUUAACAUUCUAUGAUUCACUUAGCCGGGUUUUCAAAAUUUAAUGAAUAAAUAAUUGAAAACUAUUUUUCUUGAGUUAAGAACACCAACAAUAUUCUUACUCACUUUUCUUAAAUAAUUGGAAUUAUAAUUAAAACCAAUUAAAUACUUUUAUUGCAAAAUAAAUGCAACUUCAUGUCAUGCUUAGCAUAUAAUAAGUAAUUUACUUAAAAUAUGCACAUAAUAAUAAUAUGAUAUUAUUAUGAAAAUUAUCCUUUAAAUAAAUUAAUCAAACUAGUAAUAGUUCAAUUAAUUAAAAAUAAGAAAGCCCAAUUUAAUUAAUUGAAGGCAAUCCAAAGUCUUUAAAAAUAAUUAAUCAAACUAAUUAAUAGUCUAAUUAAAUAAAAUAGGGAAGCCAUUUAUAUAGAUGAAAUAGAGCCCAUGCUUAAAUAAAUAAUAGUCCAUAUAAAUUUAAAAGAUGAGGCCCAACUCAAUAAAAUAGGAAUGGCCCAAACUGAAUAAAAUGAAUCGGGCCCAGCUAAAUAAAAUUAAAAAAAAUACGGCCCAAGCUUUUUAAAAAAAAUCGCAGCCCAAAACUAUUUAAAAAUAGGCCCAAUACUCGGCCCAAGUCCCUCAAGCCCAAACCUCUAAGCCCAACCCAAGCCCAACAACCCCAAACUAAGCCCUAGCCCAAACACUCACCCUUUUCUCCCCCUUCAGACGCACACGCACACACACACAACCACAAACGCACACACACACAAACACAAACGCAGCAGCACUCAGAUGGAAGAACACACACACACGCACGCCAAGAACUCGGUCUCUCUCUCCCUCUUCCAGAAGUAAGCUCGCCGGAGGAGCAGCGGCGACGAGCCGCGCCAUCCUCGGCUCUCUCUCAAUUGCCCGUUCCUCCCUCUCCCUCGGAAUUCCGCUGCCGCCGCCGCCGAAGCUUGCCAGAGCAACAGCGACAGCCGCUGACGACGCUCGGCUCUGUGACUGCAGCGGCGAAGGCUGCCGCGGCCACCUCCGGUCGUCCUCGCCUCUCCCGUUCACGUCUCCCUCUCUCUCACACCCCGGCACGCACAGGCGACGCGCACCCAACUGACAGGCGGCGAAGCAGCGGCAAUAAAUCAUCGCCUCAUCUCCCUCUGUACCCCCCAUGUUCUCUCUCCUCCUCGGCGACGACGGAACGCAGCCGCCUCCCUCGGCCUCUCUCUCUCUCAUUGUGCGCCGGAAGUACAACAGCAAUGAGCUGCCGCCGUCCUCCGCUCAACCCUGCUCUCCCUCCGUCCGUGGCCGGACGACAGCGGCAGGGCCGCCGCGCCACGGCCUCCCUCUGCGAAAUCUCAGCCUAGUCCAGCCACCACCCCGACUCGACUCACACCCAAAAACAGCAACCCGACUCAACGUUCCAAACACUCAGAUCCGACAGACAAGAACAAAGUUUAAAACUUCAAUUAUCGACAUGUUUCAAAAUAUUUCUAUUCUUCUUUCUUCUCUUAUUUAAAAAAAUAAUCAUGCUCUGAUGUAUAUAUAUAUAAUGUACAUACAUAUAUGCUUGUGAAUGUGUUGGUUUUACUGGUAGUUGUAUGCUAUGAAUAAUUUAGAUGAAAAGCUCAGCAGAGUAAAGAAUUUGAGAGAGAGAUAUGCAGUGUAUGGUUUUUAAAAAAAAAUUGAACCUUUGAAGCUCUUUGCUUUGCUAGGGAGUUGUUACUGCACAAUCAAGAGGAAAAGAACUUAGAUUCUUAUUGCUGUAGAAAGAAGCUUGCUGCAGGUUGAGAAAUUUGGUGAAGGGGCCUUACGAAAAUAUUUUGGUGGAAUAAGUGAGAGAGAGCUUGGCUGUUGUAUAUCUUUGAAACAACAGAGGAGUCUUGGGGAGCUGUAAAGAUCCUGCAAGGAGCUGUAAAGAUCCUGCAUAAGAUCUGCUAAAAUUUGGGAUAAGAUUUGCUAAGAUAUGUAAUGAUUUGAUUGCCUGUAAAGGAGUAGGUGUAGUGGGUGUAUUGCAGUAGGGAAGUUGGUGAUGUGCUGCAGUAGAGGAGUUAGUGGUGGGAGUAGGUGUAGGAAAAAAAAUAAAAUAAAAUAAGAUAAAAUAAAAUAAAAAGUCUUCCAGGUUGUACUAUGAAAACUGUAAUAAUUCUUCAGUGUUUGCUUAAAUAAAAGCUCGUGAAAAUGCUUUGAUUGCUAAAUUAAAUAAAUAUGCAAUGCAUAUAAAUUUAAUAAUUAAAUUUACAAAUGUUUUUGUAAAUUAUUUUUGUUGGAAUUAAAAUAAAUUCUUUUUCUCAAUCCGGCGUGAAUCAUCUUAAAUCUUAAGUUCAAAAUAAAUUCUAAAUUUAACUCAGGAAAAACGGGGUAUUACAUUCCUCCCUCCUUAUAAAAAUUUCGUCCUCGAAAUUGCAUAUCUGGUGUUCUAUCUUGUGAUACUUGUCAUUCGUUUCAUUCAUCUCUUUUGUGGCCUUUUCCAUCCUGUGAUGGUUCCACUACAUGACGAGAACAAUAUUAUUGCCUCGUAAAACUUGAAUCUUGCGAUCAAGUAUCUGGACUGAUUUCUCAUCACAACUUAGGUCCUGGCUAGGACUACUUUAUCUUACUUAAUCACAUGCUUUCUUAAUUGCGAGGUGCUAUACGUAUUGUAUACAUCCACAAUGCUUGGUGGCAGAGCCAACUUAUAGGCUACAAAGGCCUAACUUAUCUAGGGUCUCAAAAAGUCCUAUAUAACGGGGUCGUAACUUGCCCCUCUUUCCGAAACGUAUAACUCCCUUUGAGGGAGAGACUUUGAGGAAAACUCGAUCCCCAACAUUAAAUUCUAAUUCCAAUCGGCGUUUAUCGGCGUAAGACUUUUGUCUAUCUUGAGUUUCUUUGAUUCUUUGCUUGAUGUGGUCGACUUUCUCAAUCGCCUGUUGGACCAGUUCAGGACCUAACAACAUUCUUUCACCCACUUCAUUUUAGUAAAGUGGUGGACUACCUUAAUUGUUUCCUUCGUCCUAAGUCACCUUCUCAGAUUUGACUAGGGACUUCUAAUAUAAAACUUUUCUCAUCAUCUUGGUAACUUUCACUUAAAGAUUAAUGGCACUCCUUCUGCCAUGUAAACUCAUUUUCUCAUUUCCAAAUGAUUAUUUAAUGAGGGUUUCUAAGUUUCCAUUGUGGUGGCGUUCCAACUUUAUUCUUGCUGUAGCUUCUGGCACUUUAGUCAAAGCAUUCACUCUCUUAGCUUGAGCCUACUAGCCUUGGGGUUGGGUUAUACCUUAAGUUUAGUUCUAGUGCUUUCCUUCCAUUUCCUUUUUCUUUACCUCCAUCUUGAGGUGGUGUACAUAUCUUGUUUGUGCGUGAACUUUUUCCUUCUCCAAUUUAUUGUAGUGACUCGGUGGUNUAGAGAUUAUUGAGAGAGUGUAGAGAUUAGAGAGAGAGUGUAGAGAUUAGAGAGAUCAAGGCAUUAAUUGCCAAUAUUUCCUUAAGAUUACAAAAUCCUCUUUAAAGAUCACAAGAUCAUUUACAAUCUUGCAAAAUCCUCUCUCACUCCUCACUCAUCAUUUCGACCAACACCUCUCUCCCUCUUUCUCUCACUUUCCUCCAUUUUCCUCCACUAAAGAGACCUUCGAAGCUUACCCCAAAAAAAAAAAAAAAAAAAAAAAAAAAAAAAUAAACAAAACACCUCAAUCCACUCUAAAAUCUUCCAUAAACACAUCCUAGCUACUUAUAUUCAAGAGAAUCAUUGAAGAAAGGCUUCCAAGCUAGAGUGAGAAAAUAUGAGUUUUGGUGAGAAACUUGGGUAAGUGAUUCUUAUUUUAUAAAUCUAGAUUGUAUGAUGAGUAUAUGAUCAUGAUUGAGCAAGAAAAUCACCCAACUUAUUUCUAUGAAAUUUUCGAAAAUUAGGGGCUUGAAACCCUACGAAAUUUGUUGUUUGUUUUCUUGAAUUGGCUUGAGUUAUAUGAUGAUUGAUGAUUAUUGAGUUAAUAUAUAUGAAUAUCUUGAUGAUUAGCCAUGAGAUAUAGAUUUUUCUAUUAGGUUAGUUUACCUAAAAUUGGGAUGUUGAGAUCCUAUGGAUCAAUUGAUGUAUUGAUGAUGGAUUUGAGUUUAUGAGAUGAUUUAGAUGAUUAAUGAUGGAUGAGAUUGAAGCUUGAGGUUGAGAGGUGAAAAAUGAAAAGUGUUAGUUUGAGGAAGAAGAUGACAUACAUGUGUAUCUAUAUGUGAUCUUGUUUUAUGAUGUUGAUUUGUGCUAAUUGGUAACCUAUGAUGUUAGAUCUAUGACUUGAUCAAUAGGUUAUACAUGAUUAGUGAUAUUUUCAAAAGAGUUUAGUUUAAUAAAAAUUAGGACUUUUUGCCUAUGUGUUAUUUAAGUGAUUUUGGCUUAAGAUAUAUGUAUUUGAGCAUGAUAUUAGUGUAUAAUUAUGUUUGAGUAAGUCUUUUGUUGGCUAAGAAAAUUUUUGACUUAGUUUAGUUUGUAUGAGUUUUUGAGUUUUCAUAUUUUGAGAAGUCGAUGAUUGAUAAAAUGAGGUCUAAUUGCUUUAUGACCAUUAUGUGAAAGUUUGUCAUGUUUUUUUUAAGAGUUUUAUAAUGAUACAUGAAGUUUCAUUAGAGUUUAGUACAUGAUAAAAGGGAAUCUAUAUGUGUAUAAUGAUUUAUAUGAUGAAUGAGAUCGUGUUGAAUAAUUGAGUAAUUUUGUGCAUGAAAAUGAAAAGAGAAUUUUAAUGAUGCGUUCAUUGAAACGUUUUACUAGAGAUUUGAGGUUAUGAUGUAAGAAGAGAGUCAAGAUUUGAGUAUGAUGAGCAUUAUAUUGUGCUUGAAUGUUUGUGAGUGUUAUAUGUGUUUAAAAUGAGCUUUGAUGAGUUUCCUUGAAGGAAUGUUGAGUUGAGUAUUUUAAGAGUUUGAGAUGAGAUUUUGGUGAAUUUCGUAGGCCUACUGACCUACUGUGAUCGACG
Molecule: long non-coding RNA, 8003 nt
Filed under: Salvia miltiorrhiza (redroot sage)
Lineage: Eukaryota; Viridiplantae; Streptophyta; Magnoliopsida; Lamiales; Lamiaceae
Description: long non-coding RNA (SMIL_LNC005111)
Source: RNAcentral